AGUGAGCGGCAAAGCUCAAAUUUGAAAUCUGGCGUCUUUGGCGUCGAGAAGGAAUUUGAAGAAGGUAUCUUUGGGCCCGGCUCUUGUCUAUGUUCCUUGGAACAGGACGUCACAGAGGGUGAGAAUCCCGUGCGAUGAGAUGACCCGGGUCUGUGUAAAGUUCCUUCGACGAGUCGAGUUGUUUGGGAAUGCAGCUCUAAGUGGGUGGUAAAUUCCAUCUAAAGCUAAAUAUUGGCGAGAGACCGAUAGCGAACAAGUACAGUGAUGGAAAGAUGAAAAGAACUUUGAAAAGAGAGUGAAAAAGUACGUGAAAUUGUUGAAAGGGAAGGGCUUGAGAUCAGACUUGGUAUUUUGCAUGCUGCUCUCUCGGGGGCGGCCGCUGCGGUUUACCGGGCCAGCAUCGGUUUGGAGCGGCAGGAUAAUGGCGGAGGAAUGUGGCACGGCUUCUGCUGUGUGUUAUAGCCUCUGACGAUGCUGCCAGCCUAGACCGAGGACUGCGGUUUUUAACCUAGGAUGUUGGCAUAAUGAUCUUAAGUCGCCCGUCUUGAA
Molecule: ribosomal RNA, 549 nt
Filed under: Candida albicans
Lineage: Eukaryota; Fungi; Ascomycota; Pichiomycetes; Serinales; Debaryomycetaceae
Description: eukaryotic LSU rRNA
Rfam family: Eukaryotic large subunit ribosomal RNA
Source: RNAcentral